GACGAACGCUGGCGGUGUGCUUAACACAUGCAAGUGGAGCGACGAACCAGGGCUUGCCCUGGGGCAGAGCCGCGAACGGGUGAGUAACACGUGGGUAACGUACCCCGAUGACUGGGACAACCCGAGGAAACUCGGGCUAAUACCGGAUAUGUCCGACUUUCACGAGGAAGUCGAGCAAAGGAAGCUUCGGCCUCCGCAUCGGGAGCGGCCCGCGGCCCAUUAGCUAGUUGGUGGGGUAAUGGCCUACCAAGGCUGCGAUGGUAGCUGGUCUGAGAGGACGAUCAGCCACACUGGGACUGAGACACGGCCCAGACUCCUACGGCAGGCAGCAGUGGGGAAUCUUGCGCAAUGCGCGAAAGCGUGACGCAGCAACACCGCGUGAGGGAAGACGGCCU
This 395-nucleotide ribosomal RNA is filed under the name uncultured bacterium. RNAcentral's name for it is "bacterial SSU rRNA". It matches the Rfam family "Bacterial small subunit ribosomal RNA", at positions 28 to 417 of the family's 1533-position model. The record is from RNAcentral.